GUGUAGAAAGCGAGAAAUUUGCAUUUGGCUUCGGACCAAAUCUUAGGGGUGUAAGUCCCUUUCUGUACU
RNAcentral lists this transfer RNA (69 nucleotides) under Conus tulipa (tulip cone). RNAcentral describes it as "tRNA-Arg". It matches the Rfam family "tRNA". Rfam says of the family: Transfer RNA (tRNA) molecules are approximately 80 nucleotides in length. Their secondary structure includes four short double-helical elements and three loops (D, anti-codon, and T loops). Further hydrogen bonds mediate the characteristic L-shaped molecular structure. tRNAs have two regions of fundamental functional importance: the anti-codon, which is responsible for specific mRNA codon recognition, and the 3' end, to which the tRNAs corresponding amino acid is attached (by aminoacyl-tRNA synthetases). tRNAs cope with the degeneracy of the genetic code in two manners: having more than one tRNA (with a specific anti-codon) for a particular amino acid; and 'wobble' base-pairing, i.e. permitting non-standard base-pairing at the 3rd anti-codon position. Lineage: Eukaryota; Metazoa; Mollusca; Gastropoda; Neogastropoda; Conidae. The record is from RNAcentral.